AAAAAAACUAAAAAAGCUCCCAAACCCCCGUUCUCUCCCCAGAAUUCGGCCAGAGGUACGGCCAUCGGCCGCCGUGUCAGCCGCCGGCCACCAGCGACGGCGCCUCCGUACACGGUGGCCGGAGAGGGGAGAAAUUUCAGAUCUAGUCCUUUCAACCCUCCUAAGCCUGAAUCCGUGUUCAAAAUUCCCAAAAUGUUAACAAAAAUGCCCAAAAGUUCAAGAAACCUUUCGGUUUCCGGUCUCCGAUCAUCGGGGGUGACUCCCUCGUUGUUUAAAACAUGUACAGGUUUGUCCUUUCUUCUUUCUUUUUUGUUUCUACUUCCGUAUGUAAAUAAUAAACACAAAAAAAAAGAAAAAAAAAGUAGAUUAAAGAUGGAGUGUAAAAGGGUAAAUGUAAACCUUUAGGAUUUUGAUUUAUGCUUUCUUGUUCUCAAAAUGUUCCGAAAAAAGAAAAAUCCCCCUCUUGAAUUACAUUUGGUUCUGCCUUUAUAGCCGAUUAUGUUGCUUUUUUUCUACUGUUCUUUUGCCUCUAUUCUCUUCUAUCGUUUUGUCUUGUUUGCAGGUUUUGGGCAAGGUCAACGAGUGUUGGAGGAUAACCCGGACCAUUUUGGUGCAAAGCCGAUGAUGUCCGUCAUGCUUCGGGCGUCGAGAGCGCUGCAAAGGCAUGAGGGGAGGUACGGCGCACAUGGAGCACUGGUGCCGUUAGGUUGUGGGAUGAAUUGGGCUGGGGUUUUGUUAUUGGGCCUUUUGGGUUUGAAUCGGGUUGGUAUUUUGGGCUCAGGUUUGGGUUUCACUUGGGCUAUCUGAUGUUGGGUCUGUUUGUAGUUGGGUUAGUUGGGCUGCUUGCUUUUUGUUUAUUAACCUUAGUUUGGUCCGGUUUGGGUUUUGGGCCCCGGGCUAAAAUUGGGCCUUACACAGGGGUACUCUUUGUUUUAUUAGGACCUUCCUCACCUUAAUCCUUUAUGCUCAUAAGGGUAAUAGAAGUUAAUUAUAUUUUAUUAUUUGAUAUUCAUACAAGAAAAGCUAUCUAAU
RNAcentral lists this long non-coding RNA (1032 nucleotides) under Gossypium barbadense (sea-island cotton). RNAcentral describes it as "long non-coding RNA (GBAR_LNC017464)". The record is from RNAcentral. Lineage: Eukaryota; Viridiplantae; Streptophyta; Magnoliopsida; Malvales; Malvaceae.